UUCCGAUAAUUUUCCAUGUUG
This 21-nucleotide non-coding RNA is filed under the name Caenorhabditis elegans. Lineage: Eukaryota; Metazoa; Nematoda; Chromadorea; Rhabditida; Rhabditidae. The record is from RNAcentral.